RNAcentral lists this ribosomal RNA (616 nucleotides) under uncultured bacterium. RNAcentral describes it as "bacterial SSU rRNA". It matches the Rfam family "Bacterial small subunit ribosomal RNA", at positions 101 to 736 of the family's 1533-position model. The record is from RNAcentral.
AACGGGUGAGUAACGCGUGAGGAACCUGCCUCUUACAACGGGAUAGCCUCGGGAAACCGGGAUUAAUACCGUAUAAGACUCCGACAUCUCCUGAUGAUGAAGUCAAAGCGUAUGCGGUAAGAGAUGGCCUCGCGUCUGAUUAGUUAGUUGGCGGGGUAACGGCCCACCAAGACGACGAUCAGUAACCGGCCUGAGAGGGUGAACGGUCACAUUGGAACUGAGACACGGUCCAAACUCCUACGGGAGGCAGCAGUGGGGAAUCUUGCACAAUGGGGGCAACCCUGAUGCAGCGACGCCGCGUGAGCGAUGAAGGUUUUCGAAUCGUAAAGCUCUGUCCUAUGGGAAGAUAAUGACGGUACCAUAGGAGGAAGCCCCGGCUAACUACGUGCCAGCAGCCGCGGUAAUACGUAGGGGGCGAGCGUUGUCCGGAAUUACUGGGCGUAAAGGGUUCGCAGGCGGCAUGGCAAGUCCGAUGUAAAAGGCGAAGGCUUAACCUUCGUAAGCAUCGGAAACUGUCAAGCUUGAGUGAAGGAGAGGCAAGUGGAAUUCCUAGUGUAGCGGUGGAAUGCGUAGAUAUUAGGAGGAAUACCGGUGGCGAAGGCGACUUGCUGGACUU